UACAGAGGUCCCAAGCGUUGUUCGGAUUCACUGGGCGUAAAGGGUGCGUAGGCGGUCGGGUAAGUCUGAUGUGAAAUCUCACAGCUUAACUGUGAAACUGCAUUGGAUACUAUCCGGCUCGAGGAAUGGAGGGGAGACUGGAAUACUUGGUGUAGCAGUGAAAUGCGUAGAUAUCAAGUGGAACACCAGUGGCGAAGGCGAGUCUCUGGGCCAUUACUGACGCUGAGGAGCGAAAGCGUGGGGAGCGAACAGG
RNAcentral lists this ribosomal RNA (253 nucleotides) under uncultured bacterium. Its description in RNAcentral is "partial 16S ribosomal RNA". It matches the Rfam family "Bacterial small subunit ribosomal RNA", at positions 524 to 776 of the family's 1533-position model. The record is from RNAcentral.